CGGGAUUGGUCACUCGCUCGAUCCGAUUCCACCCGUAUCAGACUCUCCCCAUACCUUAUAAAACUUACGAUCCGUGACCCCAUAUCAGGCUGCGUCGACAACUCGAAGCCACCAUCAUCACCCGGGCGUGAAGUGCAUGCCAAGGGAGAUUUUUGUGCCGCCGUCAUGGUCCCACAAUUCCAUGGCUGUCCUAUGCACGUGGCGUGGUCGGGGAUGAACGCUAGUUCAUGUGCAAACCUUCUGCGGUGUCAUCGGGUGGAUAGGGCUACCAUCGCCGACUCAAUUGCUCGCUGGAGACAAGGCUCCGCCGCAGAUCCGCCCCCACCGUGGGCGGGUAUUUUUCACAGCCUAAUUCCUCCGUAUGGCGCCACUACUAGCUUCGAUGUUUUCUACUCCUUGCAGAGCGCUAAACCACGUGGGAGAUUGCACAGGGGGUCGCCCAUUAUGCCUUCACCGGCGAACCAUGGCCGUGAUGGGUGGGCGGCGCCGCCUUGGGUUGUCUGGGAGUGAAGACGGGGUAUGUGUCGUUGGUUCCUAGAUAGACGACCAUGAUUAGGUGUUAGGUCUCGAUGGGGUGGGAUUGAUCGGAGCCCUUGGAUCAUGAUCGCGGGACUCGGAAAAGAUCAGGCUUCAUAAAAUCCGUGUCGUUCAUUUAAGAUCCGAGCAUCCCGAGCACAUACCGGUUUACUUGGAUGAACGGUCUAAUCUGAGCCAUUGAUCUAAAUCUGAGCGGCUCAUAUUAACCUGUACCCCCUUCGGCGCGGCUGUUUUGUAAAAGAGCCCUAAGAGUUUGUAGAUUUCAACCCCCCAUCCUUUGUCGUGUUAAAUAACUGAGUAUAGGCCCCUAGAAUUUACAAAUUGAUCCCUGGAUCUAGUAAAAUUAGUAUAAAGUGAUCCUAAAUCUUAUUUAUUGCAUAUCUUGCUCAUUUUAACUCUGAUUUGAUCUGUUCAAGUUGCGUUAGAUUCGUAAUAAAAUUGUCUAUGCAGUAAAACAUUAUUCAUAACACAUCAUGUACUUUUAUAUUUAACCUAUGUUUAUUUUACUACCUCUUCUUAUUAAGGUUAAUAUGUCCAUAAUUAUAAUUUAACUAGAAUAUGAUCUCAAAUCAAGUUGUAACUUAGAAUAAGGUUCAAUUAAGUUAUUUUUUGGUAAUAUCUUUACCACAUGAUUUAUAAUAUAUUUUUUAUUAUUUAAUCACCUAAAUCUUUGGAAAAUCAUAUCUUUCUAAAUGUAGCUCCGAUUUUUGUGGUUCUCGAACCCACGAUCUCGUAGCAACACGUAGAAUAUCCUUACGCUGGUUGUUCUCAUGUUUGGUGUACUAUUAUUUUUAUGCAUUCCUUGUUUAUUUGUAUGUAUUGCUUCGAGUAGCAGCGAGGCCACGAGGAACCCGAAGACCAAUUUAGUGAAGUACUUGGGAUCACAAGUCAAAGACAAGUUGUACGCUUGAUCACUCUUCUUUACCUAAUAAUGUUCCUGUUAAUCACUGUGACAUGCUCAUGUUAAUUUGAUGGGACCCAAUAGGUUUCACUAGUUUUAUUUACGCCACACCUUGCAGACACAUGAACUAUUAGGUAGACUUGCUAUUGCUCUACCUGGUUUUGG
This 1603-nucleotide long non-coding RNA is filed under the name Zea mays. Its description in RNAcentral is "long non-coding RNA (ZMAY_LNC005010)". The record is from RNAcentral. Lineage: Eukaryota; Viridiplantae; Streptophyta; Magnoliopsida; Poales; Poaceae.